UUACUGCAUCUAUAAAUGGUACGAUGUCAAGUUCUGCGUCCCCCAUUUAUAGAUGCAGUAACGAUGACGCGCUUUAAGAACAUCCCCAAUGGAGUCAUAAUUUCGAGAAUAAUGCCUAGCCGGCAGAAUUGCUAUUCAGAAGAAAGUCGUAUUGUGUAUGAAGAUGGCAAGGUUGUUCAAAACGCGUUUCUUAGGUUGAGGAAUGUUGAGUGUGGUGAAAUAGAGCUUCAGUUGCAAUGGAUAGACGUUCCUAGUUCCAAGAAUCUAUAGCAGCUUAUAUUGUGAGAAAAGCUAGAUUCUUUAGUUACCUAUAUGAAAAUAUUAAAACGAACUUAUCCUUUUGUUGUUGUUGUAAACACGGCUGGCCAAAGUUGUUGGACUUUGAGGCUAAACCACAUAAAGACCCAAGAAUUAGAUAGCCCAGUACUUGUUUUGUUUGGGAUCCAGGUUUAGUACACUCUAAAUGGUAUUAUGAAGAAACGGUCUUUUCCUCCCAUCUUCUUCUUCUUGAGUCUUAACUUCCCAUUCCCAUUUUUAUGGCUAUCUUUAGUUACUUGCAUUUCAGUACUUUUUGUGAUUCUAAGUGUUGUUAUUAUAAUG
This 600-nucleotide unclassified non-coding RNA is filed under the name Hevea brasiliensis (rubber tree). The record is from RNAcentral. Lineage: Eukaryota; Viridiplantae; Streptophyta; Magnoliopsida; Malpighiales; Euphorbiaceae.